GACGAACGCUGGCGGCGUGCUUAACACAUGCAAGUCGAACGGAAAGGCCCUGCUUUUGUGGGGUGCUCGAGUGGCGAACGGGUGAGUAACACGUGAGUAACCUGCCCUUGACUUUGGGAUAACUUCAGGAAACUGGGGCUAUUACCGGAUAGGAGCUCCUGCUGCAUGGUGGGGGUUGGAAAGUUUCGGCGGUUGGGGAUGGACUCGCGGCUUAUGAGCUUGUUGGUGGGGUAGUGGCUUACCAAGGCUUUGACGGGUAGCCGGCCUGAGAGGGUGACCGGCCACAUUGGGACUGAGAUACGGCCCAGACUCCUACGGGAGGCAGAAGUGGGGAAUAUUGCACAAUGGGCGGAAGCCUGAUGCAGCAACGCCGCGUGCGGGAUGACGGCCUUCGGGUUGUAAACCGCUUUCGCAUGUGACGAAGCGUGAGUGACGGUAAUGGGUAAAGAAGCACCGGCUAACUACGUG
This 468-nucleotide ribosomal RNA is filed under the name uncultured bacterium. RNAcentral describes it as "partial 16S ribosomal RNA". It matches the Rfam family "Bacterial small subunit ribosomal RNA", at positions 28 to 507 of the family's 1533-position model. The record is from RNAcentral.